RNAcentral lists this long non-coding RNA (3088 nucleotides) under Homo sapiens (human). RNAcentral describes it as "HSALNT0368444". Lineage: Eukaryota; Metazoa; Chordata; Mammalia; Primates; Hominidae. The record is from RNAcentral.
CAACUGCACUCCAGCCUGGGCAACAGAGCGAGACUCCAUCUCAAAAAAAAAAAAAAAAGACUUGGCUCCUCACUUGUAUUGUGGGAAUCCCAGCCUAAAUUGGACAUGUGGAUGUUGAGCAAUAGAGGACAGACAAACAAAGGAAUCUCCAGACCCUGCAGGACCCAAGGCAGCAGCCCACGAGUGGAUCCUAAAGGAUUUUCAUCAGCUGCAAGUCUGGGGUUACUAGAGCCUGACCAAAAUUCUCUACUGACCAGAGACAGACAGACAGACCUGUUCCCUGUUCCCCAACUUCCAGUGGUGCUGCGCAUGGAGACGCUGAGGUGGGACCCAAAGACCUGCUCCCGUCUUCUCUCCUUAGGGACUUGCAGAAGCCCCUUUCUCAGAGUCACCCCUCCCAGGAUGAGGUGAAGAGGCUGAAAAGGGAAGGGCCAUAAUGCUAAGGCUGGGGCAGGGGACAGCGGCGCCCUCCAUGCACUCUCCUGAUUAGUGCAGAUCCACAGAGUCAUCCCACCAAAACCCCCCCCAGGAUGUAUGUGAGACCACUGGACUCAUUGGCACUGGCAAAUAAGAAGAUGGCCAGAAAGCAAUCAACACCGAACGCCCACUGCGUGCUUGGCACUGGGCCAGACUCUGCUGGGGGAGACUGGAGGAAAGGCCCAUUUCACUGGUCUUGAGCUCUACAUACCAUGUUAAGCCAGAGAGGUACAUAUUACAAAUACUGGAGACUCUCAUGCUUGAGUAUAAUCCUAUAAUCUUAUACCCACUCCCAUUCAGACGUGUGGUCAUAUGUGAAUGUCAAGCACACAAGCUAGACAGAAGAAAGAACUUCCCUAGGUUGUCAGUACUGUAGAGUAAAAUCAUCAGACUCGAAGCCCUCAUUCUCGGAAGGUGAUGAACUGGGAGAGCCCCCGCCUUGCUGGGCCAGGGGUAAAAUAAGGCUCCUGUCUGAAGGCAGGGGGAUGGUUGAGAUGACCCCUCAAGAUGCUACCCAGGAAAAGGCAGAGAGGUAAAGUUUCCAGUAGAGGGGCAUGAGAAGGAGGGACAGACAGAUGGAUGGAGGGAUGGAGGAGUGCAGGGAGCAGUGCUGGAGAGAUGAAUGGUCUUGGCUGGACUGAUGGGCGAGGCCAAGAUGGAUGGAUGGCAGCUGAGGUUUGUUUACUGGCAGCCCCCAGCCCGCCAUCGCCCAGGGGAGAGGAAUGGUGGCUGGCACAUCAGAGGGCUCUUAGGGAAGCUCAUGGAGAUGAUUUAGAUGGGAAUGAAUCAGCUCCAUAUGGAUUAAGUGUCCCCGCAAAUCCCAGAUCUUACAGAUGAGGGGAUGGGGCAAGGGCACUGAGGGGAGGGGAGAGAGUGGGGAAGCAGCGUGGAGCUGGUGCAGGGAAACACGGUCCUGAAGCCAGGGGAAGGGCACCCUCAGAGGGCAUGGGGCAGGUCAGCCUGGCACAGAUGCAACCCCUGCCUUGGUCUGUUGAUACCACUGUUCCUCUUGCUUGGUACCAAGCUUUAGGAAAAGGCCUCCUUCUCCACACCAAACCAACUGUUGGAGUGUCCUUUCUGAGUCCGUUUUGGUCUGUCUCCUCUUGCCUCUGUCUCUUGUUCUCUCUACAUCUUCAUCUGUCUUUCAUCUUCAUUUUUCUGUCCCUCUCACUACCUAGCCUUCUCUGUGUUUCUGUCUCUCUCCUUCCACAUUCCCCCGCUUUCCACACUCCCACACUUUCCAUCUCUUUCUCUAGAGGUAUAAAUGGUAGAGGGAUGCUGCCAGUUUCUCUGAACGUCAGCCUUAGCUCUGCCCUCCUCUCCUGGGGUCAGGUCUGAUGCCUCCCUCCCUCUGUACUGUUCUCUCACACAGACCACAAGUUUGGAGGUGGUCAACAGAACAGGGAAGGUGGUCAGAAAAGUGACUUUUUGGCUACAGAAAGUUAUUUGUGUUCCUCUCUGCCACCCUGCCCUCGUGCCUUCAGCUGUCCCUUCUCCCAGUGCCAGAGGAGGCUUGGAUUGAGCACCCAUGCUCUAUGGACAACAGCAAGUUGAGCAGACCUUAACAUCAUUCCCGGGGAGGCAACGGGUCAUCUGCUGGCUGGGGUUAUCAAAGGCCCCAUCUCCUACUCCUCUCCCAUGCCCCACAGUGAAGAGCCCCAGAGCUGGCUGUGGUUAUGAAGCCGGCUGCCAUGUGGGCGACCUGGAGUCAGAGCACGGGGCAGUCACAUAUGACAAUUGGUUGAAAUAUCACAGCCACUCUCCCCCCACCCCCACUGGUGAUCUAUGGGCUGCGUGCCCUGUAAAAAUUAUUUAUCGGGGCCUCAGAGUGUCCUGAUUUAGUGCCGCUGCCUCUGGGGCCUUGGGGCCUGCCUGUCCACCAGAGUCUAAGCGUUAAACGACGCUAAAAAGUUAAACAGCCAACGCUGGGGGCUCACUCGAGGAGGCACCAUAAAGCUGUCGGAGCUGCUUAAAUCAGGAGCGAGGAUUCCCUGGGACGUCUUCUCUCCAUACGCCGCAAGCCAAGAAGGCUCUCCUUACCCCUCUGCCACUCACCCAUACCCAGAAGCCCACAGAGGGCAGGGGACACGUGGGCCGGGGGCCUGGAACAGAGCCCAAAAGGAGGCCACGGAUGACCUCCUCUGCAGGGCUUUCUCCAGCAGAACAGGGGCCGUGGCUCAAGAGGGUAGGGGUCAUGUUGUCCAGCUCACCAACUCUGGGCAGGGGUCUCCUUGUUCCGGUCCAGUUUUUAAAGACUUCCAACAAAAGGCACUGCCAAAGUCUCUCCCAGGGGCCCCUGGGGAGAAGUUGUUUCCCAAGUCUGUCUCACUUCAAUCCACGCUUCUGUGUGUUGAAUCCACUGGAACUCAGUGUCUUCCCACUCAGGUUUGGAGAGGCUGUGCUGGCCACACCAGCCUGUGACUUCUUGCCUCCUUUCACCCCUCCACACCCACUUGCAUGGCUCUCUGAGGAACAGAGCCCCACCCUUCCAUCACCACCCUCCGCCAACGCACCCCUGGGUGCUGGCAUAACACGCAAGCUUCACAGAUGGCUUUUCUCAGCUGAAGCCCAGUCCCUGCUGCCACCACCCGGCCGCCGAGCAAGAGGGAAG